Molecule: non-coding RNA, 48 nt
Filed under: Schistosoma haematobium
Lineage: Eukaryota; Metazoa; Platyhelminthes; Trematoda; Strigeidida; Schistosomatidae
Source: RNAcentral
AUCAAGCUGACGAGUCACAAAUAGGACGAAACGCGAGUCAUACUGGAU